AUGUACAAUACCAAUAAUUCAAGGGGGGACUUUUCACAAAUCUGAGAGAAUAUAUAUCUCUGUAUUAUUACAUCAGGUAACAGCAUAUAAAACAACAAAAUUGAAGUCUGCAAAACGCAUAUUUCUGCACGCAUAAUACAAAGAACAUAUCCAAUGCCCUAAAAUCGAACCAAAAAGGAAAUCCUAAAAAGUAAGAAUUUUUACAAACAAGUGAGAAGCACAAGGCUUUUACAACAAGAGAAAGGAAAAGCUCAGGAGGGAUAGACAGGAAGAGAGGUGGUGAGUUGGGCGGGUACAGGGAAAGUUUAAAGCUAAACUCUCCGUCUGUAAUUGAAGAUAGAGAGUUUAAAUGUGAAGGGAGAACGAAGAUGACAACUGUGAGAAAAGGUCUUACAAGGUCAAGAAGACACAAGAAGAAAUAAUAGAAUA
Molecule: long non-coding RNA, 429 nt
Organism: Telopea speciosissima
Lineage: Eukaryota; Viridiplantae; Streptophyta; Magnoliopsida; Proteales; Proteaceae
Exons: 4
Source: RefSeq, a predicted model, not a curated record